CUCCUGGGGAAUCCUCGUGUUGCAUCCC
Molecule: ribosomal RNA, 28 nt
Filed under: Deschampsia antarctica (Antarctic hairgrass)
Lineage: Eukaryota; Viridiplantae; Streptophyta; Magnoliopsida; Poales; Poaceae
Source: RNAcentral